AUUCAUGGAGAAAGAAUUUUGACUCCGGCCUGUCACUCGGCCUCCAGUUCCACCCUCAUCCUGUUACUCUCAGAUGCUCUCCUGCCUUUCCACACAUCUGCUUUCCAGUCUCCUGUAAUCUCCACCUGGCACCUGACACCUUUUGAAAUCAAUUCACUCAAGAUUCUACCCACAAGAGUUGAUCAUCCGGUUCUUCCAGAUGGAAACCAGCUUGCCCAGAGACUCUAUCAGGAUGGGAGAUCGCAUAUUCCCGAGCCCGGUUACUCAUUUAACACAGCUUCGCAAGAGCUGGAAUCCUUCUGGUUGUGUCCAUUUCUUUGUCCAGAGCAACGCAUGAAUGAUUAUCCGGAUGUUUCAGGGGAGAGUGGAACUGGGGCAAUGAGGACGAAUCAAGAUGUCACCACACAUCUGAAAACUGGCCUCCAGCCUUCUGUGGGAUUUUCUCAACAGGUUAGUUGUGAUUUUUGCCCUACGUUCAAGCUGGUCUAGCUCUCCUUCCCUCCUUCACACCUCUGCGAACUCUACUCUUCAAAUGGAAAUUUAGCCAAUACUAAUCUCUGCUUCAUUGUCUACAGUACAUCUUCUCUUUUAUUUUUCUUUUUGUGAGUUUUUAUUGAAAUUCCAGUUAAGUGUAAUAUUAGUUUCAGGUGUACAAUAUAGUGACUCAACACUUGGAUACAUCACCUGGUGCUCAUCAUAGGUGCCCCCCUUCAUCCCCAUCACCUAGUUCACCCACCCACCCCCCAAUCCUCUCCCCUCUGGUGACCCUCAGUUUGUUCUCUAGAGUUGAGAGUCUGCUUCUAGGUUCAACUCUAUUUUUUUUUUUUUGACCUUUGCUCAUUUAUUUCUUAACUUUGACACAUGAGUGAAAUCACAUGGUAUUUGACUUUCUCUAACUGGCUUACCCCACUUAGCAUUCUACCCUCUAGGUAUAUCUGUGUCAUUGCAAAUGGCAAGAUUUCAUUCCUUUUUUAAAAUUUCUGAGCAAUAUCCCAUUGCACAUAUAUACUAAAUACUCUUUUCUUUUUUUUUUCCCCAUAUGUAGGGUCAAUAGAGCUUUUUUCUUUUUGUAUCUUUACCAAGUGGUAAAUGUGCUAAUGCGUGGCAGGAGAGGCAGAGAAAUAAUCUGUAUACUACUGCUUUAAAACAAUCCACAUAAAGGUUGACUUGAUGGGAUGGUUAUUUGCAUCUCUUACCUUGCCAACUUACAAGGAUUGCUUUAAUUUUAAAAUCUCACUUUAAAUAUGUACAUGAGCGUGCGUCUGACCUCUUCAGUCAGAGAGUAAAGACACGGUUUUAUUUUUCCUUGGCACUGAGCUCUGGGCUAAAUUGCACACUCAUAUUGAACACGUAGAAGUAUCAGAGAGGAUGCAUGUGUUGUUUUACAUAUAUAUAUAUAUAUAUUUCUCCCCUCUCUUAAUUUCUCUUAACGCUUUUGAAUGGUGAGGAUCCAAGUUCAUUUUUGCAUGAAAUAUAUAUUUUUAACAAGUUUGUUUUUUUUAACAAGUUGAAAUUUUCUAACAUGCUGUAACCAUCUGUCAUUCAGUAAGUCUAAAAAUCAGAUGUAUCAAAACAUGUUGUUUUUGAAGAAAAUGGAAUAAUUCAUCUUUAAGACCUUUCUACCCCCUUAGGGAUUUAGGGUCAUUUUUGCUUCGAAGCAACACUGACCCCCUGUGGCCAGGAGAUUCUUAGGAAAAAAAAUUUGUUUUUCUUUUUACUAAGUUUUCCUUGUAGUAAUUUCUCUCUCAUGGUAGCGUUUGUGUGCAGUCCACACAAUUUAUUUUAUUUAUUUUUAAAAAGAUUUUAUUUAUUUAUUCAUGAGAGACAGAGAGAGAGAGAGAGAGAGAGAGAGAAAGGCAAAGACACAGGCAGAAGCAGGCUCCAUGCAGGGAGCCUGACAUAGGAUUUGAUCCUGGGUCUCCAGGAUCAGGCCCUGGGCUGAAGGCGGCGCUAAACCACUGAGCCACCCGGGCUGUUCCACACAAUUUAUUUUAACUCCACAGUGUCGAUACGGUCGAUCAAUAAUUCUCGCUCAUCAAGGCAAUACUUAGGAAAGGGCCUCGUUUGUUGCCACUGUAAGUGCAGAAGGCAGAGUGGUGAGAGUGUGCUCACCCCGAGUUUGUGGUUACUCACAACCUUUGCCUCCCUUUUCUCCUGUUCCUUCCAAUUCUAUAAACGAGUCAGUUUUAUUUAUCUCAGGAAGGUGCUGGAGUCAGAGGAUCCUCAUUUCUUUCUAGCUCAUUGUUCUCACUCCAUCAAUUCACUUUUCAAAAUACCUGUGUCUGAUUCUCCUUAUUUCCAUUCUCACCACGUUUGUCGUCAGCUUCCCUUAACGAUGACAGGAGCUCUCUGGGCACCUGCUCUGAUUUUGCUCCUUUUGUGAAAAAAAAUAAGAUAUGAUUGUCAUACAGCAUUCUAUCAGUUUCAGAUGUACUGCAUAAUGAUUCGAUAUCUGUACAUCCUGUAAAGUGAUCACCGCAAUAAGUCCAGUUAACAUCCUCAUCAUCCAUAGUUCCGGAACUUUCUUCUUGUGAUGAGAACUGGUAAGAUCUACUCUCUGGGGGCACCUGGGUGGCUCAGUUGGUUAAGUGUCUGCCUUCAGCCCGGAUUGUGAUCCUGGAGUCCUAGGAUCAAGCCUCACAUCAGGAUCCCUGCUCCGUGGGGAGCCUGCUUCUUCGUCUCCCUUUGCCUAUUUGUGUUCUCUCUCUGUCAAAUAAAUAAAAAUAUUUUUUUUAAAAAAUCUACUCUCUUAGCAAUUUUCAGAUAUACAGUAUAGUAUCACCAACUCUAGUCACCAUGCUGCUUACUACAUCCCAUGACUAAUUUUAUACCUGCACAUUUGGAGCUCUUGAACCCUUUCUGCCUCCGCCUCCCCUCUCUCCACCGUCUGUUCUCCUCAGCCUCCUUUGCUCCCCCUUCUGGUGCCCCCUCCAGUCCCUGCAAACCUGUGCCAGUUGCUGAAGACCUGCUGUCCCUCCAGGAUCUGUGAUCAGAUAAGCCAGACGCCCAGAGUUUAAAACUGUCUAUGACAAUUUGACAGAGUAAUGUUUGAAUCUGAUAUAAAAAAAAGGUGGGUCUUGGGUAAUCAAUG
Molecule: long non-coding RNA, 3091 nt
Filed under: Canis lupus familiaris (dog)
Lineage: Eukaryota; Metazoa; Chordata; Mammalia; Carnivora; Canidae
Description: lncRNA (ENSCAFG00000056875.1)
Source: RNAcentral